This 806-nucleotide ribosomal RNA is filed under the name Priceomyces castillae. RNAcentral describes it as "LSU rRNA". It matches the Rfam family "Eukaryotic large subunit ribosomal RNA", at positions 93 to 931 of the family's 3401-position model. Lineage: Eukaryota; Fungi; Ascomycota; Pichiomycetes; Serinales; Debaryomycetaceae. The record is from RNAcentral.
GUGAAGCGGCAAAAGCUCAAAUUUGAAAUCUGGCACUUUCGGUGUCCGAGUUGUAAUUUGAAGAAGGAAGGUUUAUGGGUCUUGUCUAUGUUCCUUGGAAUAGGACGUCACAGAGGGUGAGAAUCCCGUGCGAUGAGAUUCCGUAUUGUAAUCUUCCUUCGAAGAGUCGAGUUGUUUGGGAAUGCAGCUCUAAGUGGGUGGUAAAUUCCAUCUAAAGCUAAAUAUUGGCGAGAGACCGAUAGCGAACAAGUACAGUGAUGGAAAGAUGAAAAGAACUUUGAAAAGAGAGUGAAAAAGUACGUGAAAUUGUUGAAAGGGAAGGAUUUGAGAUCAGACUUGAUUUUGCAACCUUACUCUCGUGGUGGGGCCCCUGCAGUUUACUGGGCCAGCAUCAGUUUGGAUGAUGGGAUAAUGACUUUGGAAUGUGAUUCUGCUUCGGUGGAGUGUUAUAGCCAUUGUUGAUACCGUCUAUCUAGACUGAGGACUGCGUCUUUGACAAGGAUGUUGGCAUAAUGAUCUUAAAUCACCCGUCUUGAAACACGGACCAAGGAGUCUAACGUCUAUGCGAGUGUUUGGGUGUAAAACCCGUACGCGUAAUGAAAGUGAACGUAGGUGAGAGCUCUUUGAGUGCAUCAUCGACCGAUCCUGAUGUCUUCGGAUGGAUUUGAGUAAGAGCAUAGCUGUUGGGACCCGAAAGAUGGUGAACUAUACCUGAAUAGGGUGAAGCCAGAGGAAACUCUGGUGGAGGCUCGUAGCGGUUCUGACGUGCAAAUCGAUCGUCGAAUUUGGGUAUAGGGGCGAAAGAC